UGUUAUAAUUGGAAGAAAAGUACUUUGCAAUUACUGUUUUGAAGUUUUCACCUCUGGGACAGUUUUCUGUUGUAGAUGAGAAAAUGGAAUUUCAGAAAACACAUGAUGCCGCUUCUUCAAGGGAGAAGAGUGAUACUAAAUAAUAGGGAGGACUGGCAAGAGUGAAUUAUGCAAGGUCUUGGAUGUCAUGAAGGAUCGACUGGUUAUUUUGAUAUCAUGUCCUAUUUCUUAGAACUUUAGUCUUCUUGCUUUCUGUUUCCAGGGUUUCUUUAGGUGUUUUGGCAUCUGCUGUCACAUCUGUGUCUCACUCAGCUCUAUAGGAAAACAUUUAACUCUCUCCUGCCACCUGCCAGAGAUAUGCCCUGAGGCUCUGUACCUUUGGCUUCAGUCAUCGCUUGACCACAUGCAACUCUCUCAACACCCGUGAAGAACCUGCCAGAAUGUAGGAACACAACCAGGAAUGUGAGCAUGGGUUAUCUCACUCUUUCAUGACUUAAACUAAUGUAGGAUUUUAGCACAACCCUGUAAGAUAUGGCCUAGAGAAAAAAAAGAACACAAGACAACAGUCGUCCGUCUAUGAUCCGUCUCUUGUUCUCUCCCAUUCUAUAACCACUGGGAUCUUAUCUGAGUAGGAAAGCAAGAAAAAUUUGUUUAUGGAAUAAACUUUAUGACCUGUGUCUUAUAAGAUUAUACUUCAGAAAAACAAAAUCUCACCCUCUUGCACUUCUAAAAGCCUUUUCUCUCAAGAUCAUAAUCUCUAUUUUCAGUACCAAAAGUCUGUUUUAAGUACAGACUUAAAAUAUUGACCCAUUUGUUUUCCCCUGAAUUUAUUUUCCUAAAAGACACAAUUCCAUAUUUUCCUAGCUGUUGGGUAGGGGCUGCAAGUACAAUAAAUUGUGUUUGAAGUGUGAGGGUAGCACUGAUGAAGAUGUAGACAUAUCAGUCAAUAAUUCAACAUAUUCCUACACAUGUGCUUUCCCCCAUUAGAAAUAAAAGCCUGAGAAAAGAAAUGGUUAUUCUUUUGACAACUGUGUUCUCAGCAUCUAGAAUAGCACCUGGAAAAUGAAUAUUUGUUGAAUGAAGACCUGUACAUAAAAUGGCUCAAAUCCUCAUCAACACAAACACCCACAGAAGUAUUGAAAGAGAAAAGGACUAGAGGCAGAAACCUGAGAAAAACAAAUAAUUUAAGGUGGAAGAUAGUGGACAAAUUGUUAGUGAAGGAGGAUAAGAAGGAGAGGUCAGCAAAUUAGAAGAAAACCCAGGUGAAAAAAGAAAAGUGGUACAGAAAGCAAAGAAGGAGAGAAUUCAAAGGGCAGAGAAAGCAAACUAUGUUAAGAAGAAAAUAAAAAACAGUGAUCUGGUAGAAUAAAGGCUUAAGAGCAGGUGAAUGGUUUUGACAAUUUAUAGGCCAUUAAUAACCUUUGAGAGAUCAGCUUGAAUGAAAUAGUUGGUUCAGAAGUCCAAUUGCAAUGGGCUGAAGAGUCAGAAACCAGCUAGGAUAAUGAAUGUGAAAGUGCUUCUUAAAUCUUAAACCACUUUAAAAAUGCAAUUAGAAUAUACAGCUUGUUAGAUUUAGGUCCUGCUUGUUGCUCAUUCACCAAACUUUCUGAAUUCAUCUAUUUUUCUUGGCAUCAAGCACAGGCAGCUAGGGCUUUAGCUGAGUAUGUCACAAUCAAUGAAACAGAUGUUAACAUUUCCUUAACAUUUUUCUUCUUCCUUGACCUAACCUUUCUUCAUAGCAUGCCCAGGUUUAAAUUAAUGCACUGUGAUUAAACAAUCUUCAAAUGCACUCCACUGUUUCUCUAGGUCAUUUCAAUAGGUCAUCUUCUAUUGCCAACACCUUCACAACUUGCCCUCAGCUUCUUAAAAAAUUCUGAUUUGUUUAGGCAAAAUUGAUAAAACUUUGAAUGUGUCCUUGACCUCAGCCACGAGAUCUGGAACACAAUCUAUCACUUAACCAUGCCUCAGAACUGGCCCCAAUUGCAUUAUUUUGAAUACUUCUUAUUUCUUGGCUUCUCUAUCCCUGAUUUCCAUUUUUAUGGAUUCCCUGUCUAUCAAGUGAACUACUAGACAUUGCAUGAACUUAAGAUAUCAUUAAUUACACUCUGAAAGUUUUCUUUUCCUGACUCGGGCAUAUAUUUCUCAAAUAACCUCAUUCUAAUUUUCCUUUUAAUGACACCUAAUUGUCAGAACAUUAAUAGAAAGGCAUAAAAUCAGAAAUUUUAGAUUGGUUAUAUUUAAAAUAAUUCAGAAAGUAACGGUUUGAGAGUAUAUUAAUUUGUUUCAUAGAGAAAACACUAGCAGAUAUUAAUAUUUAAAGUUUCCUGCCACUAUUUGAGAUUUUUCUACCAGAACCUUAUAACUUAUCUUUUCAGCACCAGAACUGUUUAUGAAGAAAAAUAAUCAAAUGAAAUAAUUUCAUAGUUAUUUUUAUUGGCAAAACAGUGACAUCUAUUGUUCAGUGUUAUAUAAAAUGGAAUUCAAAAAUCAAAAGCAAUGCCUUAUUUUUAAUGUGAUUAGCUCCAGAAUAAUAACUUCUUAGAUUUAUUGUUUCAAAAAGAGUAAUGGAUGAUAUUCAAUAAUUCAUUUUUAUUCUGAAAUCAAAUUUAGGUGAUUAUUUAGGAUCAUGAACAUGUAAUUAUGAUUCAAAGGCCCAAGAUCUGUCUAGGUACUAAAAAUAGAAAGAAAGAAAUAAGAUAAAAAUAUGGAAUAAAAUUCUUAAAGGUGACUGCUUUUUUUCUAUAUAUGUAUUUUUCUUGGUAUAAAUCAGUUUAAUAUGUUUACUGAAAUCUGUGAAUCCGCAGAUUGAUUUCUGAACUCAAGGCAAGUUUCUGUUCUCAUCUUAAUUCUGUUGUUAACUAAAUCUGUGAAUUUAAAUAAGUUGCUUUCAUCUUGGCUACAGUUUAUUAUCCACAAAAAUAUGAGUAUGAGUCUUGAACUGAAAGUAGUCAACUUCCUGCUAGCAUUUAUUUUUCCAGAAGAUGCUAUUCAGAAUCACUAGAUUAAGCAAAAAUUUUUAAAGUUUGACCAUACUGAGUGUCCAUAAUGAUAUGGAAGAAUUGAAAUUCUCAAAUACUGAUGUUAGGAGUAUAAACAAAUACAGUCCCUUUCUAAAGCAAUUUGAAAAUAUCCUGUAAAUUUUAAGGUGAAUCUAUCCCAUCAUCCUGCUUUUCCGUUUGUGUAAGCACUUCACAGGGAAUUCCCACACAUGCACACAAGGAGGUAUUUUCAAGAACUACAUCAUUGCAAUAUUGAAAAAUUCACAAUAUAUUACAGGAGAAUUUAUAAAAUCUUGCAUCUGUACCUACUGAUAUAUUUUACAAUAUAAACAUAAAAUGAUUGAAUUACAGUAGCAUCUAUCAACAUGGGUAAACCUCAAUCAAACAAUAUGAGUAAAAGAGGCACAUUUCAGAUUAUGUAGCAAAUGACCUUUUAUAUAAGAAACCAAAAUGUUUCUAUUCAUUGACUAUGGGCACACCAUAGGUAAAAAAGUAUAAAAUAUUCAUGAGAAUAAUAAAGAACAAAUUCAUGACAAUGGUCACCUAUGGAAAUACAGGGGAGGUAAUGUGACCAGGAUGGAUACACUGGGACUUGAACUGCAUCUGAAAUGUUUUCCUUAUUGAACAAAAAGAGAGAAAGACAUCUGAAGCAAAAUAAGGCAAACUGAGGAGCUGUUUUCAAUGAGUUAUGGGCACACUGAUUCUUAUUAGAUGAUUAUACUUUUCUGCAU
This 3730-nucleotide long non-coding RNA is filed under the name Homo sapiens (human). RNAcentral's name for it is "HSALNT0242665". Lineage: Eukaryota; Metazoa; Chordata; Mammalia; Primates; Hominidae. The record is from RNAcentral.